This 421-nucleotide ribosomal RNA is filed under the name Formicidae sp. NZAC 03011515. Its description in RNAcentral is "eukaryotic LSU rRNA". It matches the Rfam family "Eukaryotic large subunit ribosomal RNA", at positions 596 to 814 of the family's 3401-position model. Lineage: Eukaryota; Metazoa; Arthropoda; Insecta; Hymenoptera; Formicidae. The record is from RNAcentral.
GGCGGUACGCGCAUGGUAUCAGGCCGCACUAUUUUACGGUGCGUCGAGGCCGUCGCAAGCGCGCGCCACGGUACUCGGAGGUUACGGACUUUGCGCCGUCCCCGGUCCUGGUCCGCUGUUGGUUAAAGUACGGUUCACCUUCGACAGGCYUGCGAACGUCUCUCCCCGGAGAGACCKAUACCGGUCGGCGACGCUACUGCUUUGGGUACUCUUAGGACCCGUCUUGAAACACGGACCAAGGAGUCUAACAUGUACGCGAGUCAUUGGGACUUGUCGCGAGACCUAAAGGCGUAAUGAAAGUGAAGGUCGGCCCUGGCCGUCGACCGAGGGAGGAUGGGCCGCGUCGCGAUGCGGCCUCGCACUCCCGGGGCGUCUCGUUCUCAUCGCGAGRAGAGGCGCACCCAGAGCGUACACGUUGGGA